This 809-nucleotide ribosomal RNA is filed under the name Streptomyces pilosus. RNAcentral's name for it is "bacterial SSU rRNA". It matches the Rfam family "Bacterial small subunit ribosomal RNA", at positions 103 to 925 of the family's 1533-position model. The record is from RNAcentral. Lineage: Bacteria; Bacillati; Actinomycetota; Actinomycetes; Kitasatosporales; Streptomycetaceae.
CGGGUGAGUAACACGUGGGCAAUCUGCCCUGCACUCUGGGACAAGCCCUGGAAACGGGGUCUAAUACCGGAUACUGACCCCCGCAGGCAUCUGCGGGGUUCGAAAGCUCCGGCGGUGCAGGAUGAGCCCGCGGCCUAUCAGCUUGUUGGUGAGGUAAUGGCUCACCAAGGCGACGACGGGUAGCCGGCCUGAGAGGGCGACCGGCCACACUGGGACUGAGACACGUACCAAACUUUAUACGGGAGGCAGCAGUGGGGAAUAUUGCACAAUGGGCGAAAGCCUGAUGCAGCGACGCCGCGUGAGGGAUGACGGCCUUCGGGUUGUAAUCCUCUUUCAGCAGGGAAGAAGCGAAAGUGACGGUACCUGCAGAAGAAGCGCCGGCUAACUACGUGCCAGCAGCCGCGGUAAUACGUAGGGCGCGAGCGUUGUCCGGAAUUAUUGGGCGUAAAGAGCUCGUAGGCGGCUUGUCACGUCGGUUGUGAAAGCCCGGGGCUUAACCCCGGGUCUGCAGUCGAUACGGGCAGGCUAGAGUUCGGUAGGGGAGAUCGGAAUUCCUGGUGUAGCGGUGAAAUGCGCAGAUAUCAGGAGGAACACCGGUGGCGAAGGCGGAUCUCUGGGCCGAUACUGACGCUGAGGAGCGAAAGCGUGGGGAGCGAACAGGAUUAGAUACCCUGGUAGUCCACGCCGUAAACGGUGGGCACUAGGUGUGGCGACAUUCCACGUCGUCCGUGCCGCAGCUAACGCAUUACGUGCCGCGCCUGGGGAGUACGGCCGCAAGCUAAAACUCAAAGGAAUUGACGGGGCCCGCA